Molecule: ribosomal RNA, 722 nt
Filed under: uncultured Fusobacterium sp.
Lineage: Bacteria; Fusobacteriati; Fusobacteriota; Fusobacteriia; Fusobacteriales; Fusobacteriaceae
Description: bacterial SSU rRNA
Rfam family: Bacterial small subunit ribosomal RNA
Source: RNAcentral
GAUGAACGCUGACAGAAUGCUUAACACAUGCAAGUCUACUUGAACUUCGGUUUGGGUGGCGGACGGGUGAGUAACGCGUAAAGAACUUGCCUCACAGUUAGGGACAACAUUUGGAAACGAAUGCUAAUACCUGAUAUUAUGAUUUUAGGGCAUCCUAGGAUUAUGAAAGCUAUAUGUGCUGUGAGAGAGCUUUGCGUCCCAUUAGCUAGUUGGAGAGGUAACGGCUCACCAAGGCGAUGAUGGGUAGCCGGCCUGAGAGGGUGAACGGCCACAAGGGGACUGAGACACGGCCCUUACUCCUACGGGAGGCAGCAGUGGGGAAUAUUGGACAAUGGACCAAAAGUCUGAUCCAGCAAUUCUGUGUGCACGAUGACGUUUUUCGGAAUGUAAAGUGCUUUCAGUUGGGAAGAAAAAAAUGACGGUACCAACAGAAGAAGUGACGGCUAAAUACGUGCCAGCAGCCGCGGUAAUACGUAUGUCACAAGCGUUAUCCGGAUUUAUUGGGCGUAAAGCGCGUCUAGGUGGUUAUGUAAGUCUGAUGUGAAAAUGCAGGGCUCAACUCUGUAUUGCGUUGGAAACUGCACAACUAGAGUACUGGAGAGGUAAGCGGAACUACAAGUGUAGAGGUGAAAUUCGUAGAUAUUUGUAGGAAUGCCGAUGGGGAAGCCAGCUUACUGGACAGAUACUGACGCUAAAGCGCGAAAGCGUGGGUAGCAAACAGG